UAGAGUUUGAUCAUGGCUCAGAUUGAACGCUGGCGGCAGGCCUAACACAUGCAAGUCGAGCGGAUGAAGAGAGCUUGCUCUCUGAUUCAGCGGCGGACGGGUGAGUAAUGCCUAGGAAUCUGCCUGGUAGUGGGGGACAACGUCUCGAAAGGGACGCUAAUACCGCAUACGUCCUACGGGAGAAAGCAGGGGACCUUCGGGCCUUGCGCUAUCAGAUGAGCCUAGGUCGGAUUAGCUAGUUGGUGAGGUAAUGGCUCACCAAGGCGACGAUCCGUAACUGGUCUGAGAGGAUGAUCAGUCACACUGGAACUGAGACACGGUCCAGACUCCUACGGGAGGCAGCAGUGGGGAAUAUUGGACAAUGGGCGAAAGCCUGAUCCAGCCAUGCCGCGUGUGUGAAGAAGGUCUUCGGAUUGUAAAGCACUUUAAGUUGGGAGGAAGGGCAGUAAGCGAAUACCUUGCUGUUUGACGUACCGACAG
RNAcentral lists this ribosomal RNA (480 nucleotides) under Pseudomonas sp. 01WB02.2-23. Its description in RNAcentral is "bacterial SSU rRNA". It matches the Rfam family "Bacterial small subunit ribosomal RNA", at positions 1 to 484 of the family's 1533-position model. The record is from RNAcentral. Lineage: Bacteria; Pseudomonadati; Pseudomonadota; Gammaproteobacteria; Pseudomonadales; Pseudomonadaceae. RNAcentral also lists the same sequence under 1 other name.